RNAcentral lists this unclassified non-coding RNA (348 nucleotides) under soil metagenome. RNAcentral describes it as "partial contains 5.8S ribosomal RNA, internal transcribed spacer 2, and large subunit ribosomal RNA". The stretch from base 1 to 120 matches the Rfam family "5.8S ribosomal RNA", at positions 35 to 154 of the family's 154-position model. The record is from RNAcentral.
GAUGAAGAACGCAGCAAAAUGCGAUAAGUAAUGUGAAUUGCAGAAUUCAGUGAAUCAUCGAAUCUUUGAACGCACAUUGCGCCCGCUGGUAUUCCGGCGGGCAUGCCUGUUCGAGCGUCAUUUCAACCCUCAAGCCCCCGGGUUUGGUGUUGGGGAUCGGCUCUGCCCUUCUGGGCGGUGCCGCCCCCGAAAUACAUUGGCGGUCUCGCUGCAGCCUCCAUUGCGUAGUAGCUAACACCUUGCAACUGGAACGCGGCGCGGCCAUGCCGUAAAACCCCAACUUCUGAAUGUUGACCUCGGAUCAGGUAGGAAUACCCGCUGAACUUAAGCAUAUCAAUAAGCGGAGGA